UCCUACGGGGGGCAGCAGUGAGGAAUAUUGGUCAAUGGGCGGAAGCCUGAACCAGCCAAGUCGCGUGAGAGAAUAAGGCCCUACGGGUCGUAAACCUCUUUUGCCGGGGAGCAAGGGCGGGGACGUGUCCCGGCCCGGAGAGUACCCGGAGAAAAAGCAUCGGCUAACUCCGUGCCAGCAGCCGCGGUAAUACGGAGGAUGCGAGCGUUAUCCGGAUUUAUUGGGUUUAAAGGGUGCGUAGGCGGGCUUUU
Molecule: ribosomal RNA, 251 nt
Filed under: uncultured bacterium
Lineage: Bacteria
Description: partial 16S ribosomal RNA
Rfam family: Bacterial small subunit ribosomal RNA
Source: RNAcentral